CGGGAGAUAGCUGGUUCUCCCCGAAAGCUAUUUAGGUAGCGCCUCGUGAAUUCAUCUCCGGGGGUAGAGCACUGUUUCGGCAAGGGGGUCAUCCCGACUUACCAACCCGAUGCAAACUGCGAAUACCGGAGAAUGUUAUCACGGGAGACACACGGCGGGUGCUAACGUCCGUCGUGAAGAGGGAAACAACCCAGACCGCCAGCUAAGGUCCCAAAGUCAUGGUUAAGUGGGAAACGAUGUGGGAAGGCCCAGACAGCCAGGAUGUUGGCUUAGAAGCAGCCAUCAUUUAAAGAAAGCGUAAUAGCUCACUGGUCGAGUCGGCCUGCGCGGAAGAUGUAACGGGGCUAAACCAUGCACCGAAGCUGCGGCAGCGACGCUUAUGCGUUGUUGGGUAGGGGAGCGUUCUGUAAGCCUGUGAAGGUGUGCUGUGAGGCAUGCUGGAGGUAUCAGAAGUGCGAAUGCUGACAUAAGUAACGAUAAAGCGGGUGAAAAGCCCGCUCGCCGGAAGACCAAGGGUUCCUGUCCAACGUUAAUCGGGGCAGGGUGAGUCGACCCCUAAGGCGAGGCCGAAAGGCGUAGUCGAUGGGAAACAGGUUAAUAUUCCUGUACUUGGUGUUACUGCGAAGGGGGGACGGAGAAGGCUAUGUUGGCCGGGCGACGGUUGUCCCGGUUUAAGCGUGUAGGCUGGUUUUCCAGGCAAAUCCGGAAAAUCAAGGCUGAGGCGUGAUGACGAGGCACUACGGUGCUGAAGCAACAAAUGCCCUGCUUCCAGGAAAAGCCUCUAAGCAUCAGGUAACAUCAAAUCGUACCCCAAACCGACACAGGUGGUCAGGUAGAGAAUACCAAGGCGCUUGAGAGAACUCGGGUGAAGGAACUAGGCAAAAUGGUGCCGUAACUUCGGGAGAAGGCACGCUGAUAUGUAGGUGAAGUCCCUCGCGGAUGGAGCUGAAAUCAGUCGAAGAUACCAGCUGGCUGCAACUGUUUAUUAAAAACACAGCACUGUGCAAACACGAAAGUGGACGUAUACGGUGUGACGCCUGCCCGGUGCCGGAAGGUUAAUUGAUGGGGUCAGCGCAAGCGAAGCUCUUGAUCGAAGCCCCGGUAAACGGCGGCCGUAACUAUAACGGUCCUAAGGUAGCGAAAUUCCUUGUCGGGUAAGUUCCGACCUGCACGAAUGGCGUAAUGAUGGCCAGGCUGUCUCCACCCGAGACUCAGUGAAAUUGAACUCGCUGUGAAGAUGCAGUGUACCCGCGGCAAGACGGAAAGACCCCGUGAACCUUUACUAUAGCUUGACACUGAACAUUGAGCCUUGAUGUGUAGGAUAGGUGGGAGGCUUAGAAGUGUGGACGCCAGUCUGCAUGGAGCCGACCUUGAAAUACCACCCUUUAAUGUUUGAUGUUCUAACGUUGACCCGUAAUCCGGGUUGCGGACAGUGUCUGGUGGGUAGUUUGACUGGGGCGGUCUCCUCCUAAAGAGUAACGGAGGAGCACGAAGGUUGGCUAAUCCUGGUCGGACAUCAGGAGGUUAGUGCAAUGGCAUAAGCCAGCUUGACUGCGAGCGUGACGGCGCGAGCAGGUGCGAAAGCAGGUCAUAGUGAUCCGGUGGUUCUGAAUGGAAGGGCCAUCGCUCAACGGAUAAAAGGUACUCCGGGGAUAACAGGCUGAUACCGCCCAAGAGUUCAUAUCGACGGCGGUGUUUGGCACCUCGAUGUCGGCUCAUCACAUCCUGGGGCUGAAGUAGGUCCCAAGGGUAUGGCUGUUCGCCAUUUAAAGUGGUACGCGAGCUGGGUUUAGAACGUCGUGAGACAGUUCGGUCCCUAUCUGCCGUGGGCGCUGGAGAACUGAGGGGGGCUGCUCCUAGUACGAGAGGACCGGAGUGGACGCAUCACUGGUGUUCGGGUUGUCAUGCCAAUGGCACUGCCCGGUAGCUAAAUGCGGAAGAGAUAAGUGCUGAAAGCAUCUAAGCACGAAACUUGCC
Molecule: ribosomal RNA, 1977 nt
Filed under: Escherichia coli
Lineage: Bacteria; Pseudomonadati; Pseudomonadota; Gammaproteobacteria; Enterobacterales; Enterobacteriaceae
Also listed under: 1 other name
Description: partial 23S ribosomal RNA
Rfam family: Bacterial large subunit ribosomal RNA
Source: RNAcentral